Molecule: transfer RNA, 85 nt
Filed under: Felis catus (domestic cat)
Lineage: Eukaryota; Metazoa; Chordata; Mammalia; Carnivora; Felidae
Rfam family: tRNA
About the family: Transfer RNA (tRNA) molecules are approximately 80 nucleotides in length. Their secondary structure includes four short double-helical elements and three loops (D, anti-codon, and T loops). Further hydrogen bonds mediate the characteristic L-shaped molecular structure. tRNAs have two regions of fundamental functional importance: the anti-codon, which is responsible for specific mRNA codon recognition, and the 3' end, to which the tRNAs corresponding amino acid is attached (by aminoacyl-tRNA synthetases). tRNAs cope with the degeneracy of the genetic code in two manners: having more than one tRNA (with a specific anti-codon) for a particular amino acid; and 'wobble' base-pairing, i.e. permitting non-standard base-pairing at the 3rd anti-codon position.
Source: Rfam by way of RNAcentral
GCCUGGGUGGUUCAGUCAGUUGAGCGUCCGACUUCGGCUCAGGUCAUGAUCUCGCGGUUUGUGGGUUCGAGCCCCACAUCAGGCU